AAGUCGUAACAAGGUAACCGUAGGUGAACCUGCGGUUGGAUCAUUAACAAUGAGGAUCGCGGCAUGGUUCCAUGUCUCGGUCCGAAAUGGUAAUUCCAUACCAACCCACUUUGUGCACCGUUUCGUCUCUGGCGGUCGUAAGAUGCGGGGAAGGCUGUCUCUCAGUCUAUCCUGCUCUUCUAGUCCAUCUGUCUUUGUUGAACAGGUGGAUGAAGCCGUCUUGUUUACCCCACACAGUGCUUUUGAUUUCCUUGUCUGUCUGACUACGUUUUGUAUGAAUGUACAAAAAACAACUUUUGGCAACGGAUCUCUUGGCUCUC
Molecule: unclassified non-coding RNA, 320 nt
Filed under: fungal sp.
Lineage: Eukaryota; Fungi
Description: partial internal transcribed spacer region
Rfam family: Eukaryotic small subunit ribosomal RNA (bases 1-46)
Source: RNAcentral